ACAAGUGAAGAAGCCAGCCUUGUCUUUGGUUGUAUUUUCAAUGUAUAUUGCCUAUGCUAUGACACUGACACAAAAAGGCUUUCUUGUGUCACUUUCUGUUUUGAUGCAAUGGAUUUGACUGUUUGCGGCCUUUCGGAACUCGAAAUUUGGUCAAAAAUAUAUCCCCUGCCCCCUUAAUAGCAAAACGCAAAAUUUUAAAAUUGUGUAUAUCAUACGAAAAUUGAUACAUGUAUUCCACAAAUGUGUUGCGGUAACAAAUCGAACAUAAUUUUGCAUAUAUCUUUUAACCGCUAUGGUUGAGAUUAUGGAAAACAAAGGGAGGUAAUAAUGUUAAAACCAUUGCUAAUUUUAGGAAAAUUUCACGUGUGCUGGUUUCGCACUGGAAAACAAUGUUUAAACUCAUAUUUGUGUAAUAGCAUCUACAUUUGCACAUUUUCUGAGCUUGAAUACUUAAAUAAGCAAGAUAAGUCUGCAGUUUUGUAGAAAAAGUUGGUAAAAAUAGGAAAAUUAUGCAAAAUAGUGGUUUGUAACAUGCCGCAAACAUAAAUUCUUUUUUUCUUCUUAUUUGAAGUCAUUAUGGCAACAUAUUUCUUCAUGUGACACCUAACCGAUGAAGAAAGACUAAGAUUGAAGCAUUUAUUUGAUAAUAAAUACGAAAUAAUAAGUGAAUGCCACAUCUGGAAGGGGGCGUACACUCCAAGCGUCUAUGGUGUUCUGCGGUGUAGUUUCCGCGGCAAAAGGCUAAGGCUUAAAGCUCACCAUGCACUAUAUUAUCUUGAAAAUAAACAUGCCAUGUCAUCAAAAAUGCAUGUGUCACAUUUAUGCCACAGUAAACUUUGUGUCAACAUCAAGCACUUAAGUUAUGGGCCUCAAAGCAUUAACAAAAGGAAAAUAUGUGCUCAUGAAGGUUCCUUAUGCACUUGAAAAUGUUUCCAAGCUGUGUCUUGUUUACAAUGAUGUUCUCAUAGUCAGAUAUAUUUGCCCACUGUUUCCAAUUGUAGCACUUUGAUUUUCAGACUGUGGUACUGUUUGAUGUGGUCGCAGUUUAAUAGGGAGAACGAGUGGACCCAGAGAACGAUUACACGCAUUCAAGACAUCGUUAGCCACAGAAUCACCCAAUCGCACGACACUUUCCAGGUCAGGGUCUGAAUUCAACGGAAUAGAAUCUUGAACUUGUUUCUCUACACAGGGCACAUGCCUGCAGAAACUUUAUAGUUUGGAAAUACUCCUUUUUUUAAAAGUACACCUUUGUUUUUCCUAGCGUGAUUGUUUUUAUAACUGUGCUGUGAUUUCUUAUGGAGUGAUCUAAUUUUGAAUGGUAUUUUAAUGAAUGAAUAUCAAUAUUUGGUGCAUGUAUUAUGUAAUCAUAUGGGAAUAUACAUCUGUAAGACUGAUUGAUAGUGUCAAUAAUCAUUUUAAACAUUUGACAUAUAACUUGUGUGCUUCUCUACUAAAUAGAGUCAAAUGUUGUGAAUAGGAACACUAUUUUUUUGAUUAUUUCUGUUCUGGUUGUUUCCCUUGAAUUGUGUGAAUUUUUGGAAUUACUAUGAAAUACAAACAAAACACAGGAUACAGUUCAGAAAUGUUGCAUUUAAUUCAUUAAACAUUAUAUUUUAAUAUAACAAAAGCUUUUUGUUUUAUUAUGCAUAUAUUAAAAAACUUAAGGUGGCAGGGGAUAUAUCAGUGAAAGGGGGGUCCAUGAAAAUUACAUAUCUUUAGGGUAGGUGUUACCUAUGGUCUUUAAAAAUCAAUUAGGUAUUUAUAAGAUGUAUUUCUUGUGUUAGGUUGUAGAAAGAAUGUCUCAAAAUUUUGGAAAAAAAAACAUUACAACUAGCCACAGCUCCCUAGCAAGGAAAUUUUGAAUCUUCAAAAAGGAGGUUUUCACUUUUGUCGGAAGUCAAUAUUUCACGCUGCAGAAACAGAACAAAAUUUUGAAGGUAAAUUGUGAAAAAUCUAAACGUAUGGGAGACACUUUUCUAGGCAAAUAAACAAAGCACAGGGAUGAAAUUAGUGAGUAAUGUAGCCAAAACUAGGAUUGCAUUCUGUUUGAAUGUUCUGUGCAUGCCAUGAAAUGGGUCAAAUUUCUCAAUUUUUCAUUAAAAAUGAGGUGGGUGGGGGGAAAGAUCAAGGGCCAUAGUUUCACAAGUGAAGAAGCCAGCCUUGUCUUUGGUUGUAUUUUCAAUGUAUAUUGCCUAUGCUAUGACACUGACACAAAAAGGCUUUCUUGUGUCACUUUCUGUUUUGAUGCAAUGGAUUUGACUGUUUGCGGCCUUUCGGAACUCGAAAUUUGGUCAAAAAUAUAUCCCCUGCCCCCUUACUGCAAUGAAACCAAGCGUUCGAUUGCUUGACGUCACUUCGUGAUCGACAUCGAUGAAACGCUUGCUUAUGCUGUAGAAGUUAUUUUCUGUGCAAAAACAAGCGUCUAUUAAUAACGAAACGAUAACUUGUCAACAAUGAGAAUCAGAUACUUGGCUUAAUAAUUUUCAUUUAAAAUGUCUAAUUUGGAUAUAAUUCGGAAUACAAAACGAAACUUAAAAGGUAAUUUUUUAAAAAACAUUCCAAAGCACAAUGUGGAUUUCAAUAGAAAUACUAUUUCCACCGACAAUCAGGAUUUCCGGUAUGACCACUGUUAUUUUGACGAUUUUUUUAUCGAAUCGUCGGUAAGCGUGACCACAUGUGACAACAGCGAUGCCAGUUGGAAAAUUGGUAGACGAGUCGUUGAACUCGACACAUUGGCCGAACCGCUUUCAGCAUGGAGUGCUUGUCAACUCAAGUGCCAUGAAUUUACUUAACACAGUAGAAAGCAGGGAUUUCGGACUGGCAUGUGUUUUGGACAUACAGUGUAGCAAUUGUGGUGCAAUAAAUAAUGUGGCUACUGGAUGGAAACAUGGCAGAGUUUAUGACAUAAACACAAAGCUUGCAUUGGGUUAAUCAGAAACUGGGUGUUUCACCUGGGACUUUCACAUAAAAAAUGGCCCUUCUCCGUGACCUUCAGCACAAAAAAAGAAAGGCUAUAGCUGUUACUCGUGCAGCAAAACAGCGACGCAUAAGACUCAAAACUAGAACGGCAUUCAAAGGACAUAGUGCAAGAAGUACGAGAGGGUCCAACAUACUGUUCAAACAUAGAGGACCAAGAUGUUGAAGUUACAACUAUACCCCCACCUGUACCCAAGCCUGGUCCGGCAGGGCUAGACACUACUGGGAAGGAAUGUGUUUUCUUUGAUUUGGAAACAAGAGGGUUAGAUAGCUGCAGUGCAUUCAACUGGUCAGUUUUCAACAUCAUGUGAUGCCAGAGAAGAAGUCAUUGAAAGCGUCAGAAAUAACUGGAGUGACAGUUGUUGGCGACUCUGUGAUUGUCAAUGGACAAACAGUAACAGCUGUCCCCAUCAAAUCUGCAUUGACAAGUUUUAUAACAUUCUUACAGAAAUGUUCACCGGUUAUUUUAGUUUGGCAUAAUAUAGAGUCUUUUGAUUGUAAAGUGUUGCUCCAUGCUAUCCAUACUUGUGGAAAAAUGUCUGAGUUUCAGCAAAAUAUUUGUGGCUUUUUAGAUACUUAACAAAUAUGAAAUCAUAUUAGCAGAAAAAUUUAGUUAAAGACGUCAUUGGUGAAUUAUACAUGGCACAUGGCGCUCUACAGGAUGUUUUAGCUUUUCAAAAGUUAGUGAACUCUGUUCCUCUUGACCAAAAUGUUGUUAACAAAUAUUCAUUCAGCUAUGACCGAGCAGUAUUAGCAUACAAUGUGUAACUAAAUGUUGCUUCCAACAUCAAAUCUUUGCAAACCAUGAUUGAUACAAAAGUUAUACGUGUGUAAGUCAAGGUGUUGCAAGGAAAGUUGCAGGAAGUGGAUUGCAACUUAAACAUUUGAGUACUGUAUCAAAAAGAAACGGACUGAGUGGUUUGAGGAGCCCCCUGUCAGAGGUUACACACAGACAAAUCAGAGUAACAAAAUCAGAGAAAAAAAUAUGAGCAAUAGCGAGUUAUUUGUUGCCUGACAUAUAAACAAUUGUAAUUUUCAUCUUGUAUAUAGAUUAGCUAUGAAAUCUAAUAGCUGUUACAUAAAAAAUUUUCCUUCUCGAUGACAAACAUAGUUGUGAUUCUUAUGUCAGUUGUAUUUCUCAUGUUUCACCUAAGUUGUAAGAUAUUUUUGGCAGUGCAUUAAACCACAGAUGGUGUGUGAAACAUAAUUGCCCCGCUAAUUGUAUUCUAUGUUGUUUUUUGUAGAUGUACUAAUCUGAUAAAAGUAUUUGCGUAGCCUGAAUUUUGAUUGUUGUUGCUCUCAUUAGUAGUUGUUGUGUACAUGUGUAUCCUAUAUAUGGACAACAACACAUUUUUGUUAAUGAAUUGCAAACAUGGCUUUGCUUAAUGUGUGUGAUUUGUGUCACAUAUUUUACAUUGUUCUAUAUCCGAAUAACAGUGAAAUAAUCAUUAUCUUCAAUUUCAUAAAUUAUAAUUUGGCAAAGUUAAGAAAACCAUGAAAAAUCAGCUUCAGAUGGCCCCCAAAAAAGACAAAUGUAUUUCUCAUGUGUCCAGCUUUUGACAUCCUAAAAGAAGCCUUAUUAUACAUGCGUACAACAUAAAAAAAUGAACAAUACCUUUUUUAUUGACAUUCUUUUUGCAGUAUCUGUAACAAUGCCGUUCACUAAACAAUAGUGUAUCACAGCACAAAGCAGUACUAUUUGUAAAAAAAUUAUAUAUUAAUUGAUGUCUGGUUUUUAGCUCCACUGGCCAAAGGGCAGUGUCCUGUGUCAUGGUCCUAUGUCAUGGUCCUGUGUCCGUCGUGCGUGCAUGCGUCCGUGCGUUAACUUUUCCUUAAAACAUCUUCGUCUCCUAAACUACUGGUCCAAUUCUGAUAAAAUUUCUCAGGAAUGUUCCUAGGGUGAACCUCUUUCAAAUUUGUUCAAAUUAUGCCCCUGGGGUCAAAUUUGACCCUGCCCCGGGGGUCACUGCCUAUUUUGUGAAAACUUUCAAAAUCCUCUUGUCCAUAACCAUUGGGCCUAGGGCUAUCAAAUUUGGUAUGUAGAGACAUCUAAUAGUCCUCUACCAAAUUUGUUCAAAUUAUGCCCCUGGGGUCAAAUAUGACCCGCCCCGGGGUCACAAAAUUGAACAUAUGCUUAUAUAGGGUCUAUUUUGUGAAAACUUUACAAAUCUACUCGUCCAUAUCCAAAUUUUGUAUGUAGUGGCAUCUUAUAGUCCUCUACCAAUUUUGUUCAAAUUAUGCCCCUGGGGUCAAGUUUGACCCUGACCCCAGGGUCACAAAAUUGAACAUAUGCUUAUACAAGGCCUUUUUUGUAAAAAAUUAAAAAUCUUCUUGUCCAUAACAGUAUGACAUAGGGCUACCAAAUUUGGUAUGUAGUGACAUGUAAUAGUUCUCUACCAAGUUUGUUCAAAUUAUGCCCCUUGGGUCAAAUUUGAAACUGCCCCGGGGGUCACAAGACUAAACAUAUGCUUAUAAAGUGCUUAUUUUGUGAAAACUUUAAAAAUCUUUUGUCCAUAUCCAUUGGUCCUAGGGCUACCAAAUUUUGUAUGUAGUGACAUCUUAUAAACCUCUACCAAAUUUGUUCAAAUAAUGCCUCUGGGGUCAACUUUGACCCUGCCCCGGGGGUCACACAAUUUAAUAUACGCUUAUAAAGCGCCUAUUUUGUGAAAUCUUUAAAAAUCUUCUUGUCAAAAACCAUUUGGACUAUGACUACCAAAUUUGGUUUGCAGUAACAUCUUAUGGUCCUCAACCAAGUUUGUUCAAAUAAUGCCCUUUGGGUCAAAUUUGACCCUGACCCGUGGGUCACAAAAUUGAACAUUGUAUACGUUUAUAUCUUGCUUAUUUUGUGAAAACUUUUAAAAUAUUCUUGUCCUUAACUCUAGGACUUAGGGCUACCACAUUUUGUAUGUAGUGAGAUAUAGUAGUCCUCUACAAAGUUUGCUCAAAUUAUGCCUCUGGGGUUAAAGUUGACCCACCCAAGGUGGUCACAAAAGUGAACAUGUGCUUAAAUAGGGCCUAUAUUUAAGUAUUUGCACAUGCCGAGAAUAUUUUUUUCAGCCUUUUUUCAGCAGUGGAGCGAUACAGGGCCAUCAUGUCCCUCUUGUCUUUAAAUACACAUCACACAGUUCUAAAAAUAAUAAUUUUAAAAUAAUACAUAUGUUCAAUUUACAACCCACAACGUGGGUAACAGGUGGGUGGGGUAAUUUAAGAUGUUUAUUUGAACAUCAACAUUGUUUUUUCAUUUGUUACAUCUGAAAUAUUUUCAUAACAAUGUACAUUAUAAAUAUUUCUACGUGUAUCACAUUUCAGUUGAUAAUUUGAUUGUUAUAGAGCAGUUAUUAUAUAGAUAUGUUUUAAUUACUAUUACAAUAUUAGUCAUUAUAUUUGUUAAAUUAAGUCCAUAUUAAAAUGUCUGUAGCAAAAAAAAAUCCACGGUGACCUAUCAAUUUCUUUACUUCAUUUUAAUGCUAAGCUAGUUGCCUUUAAUUAUUGAGAACUUCAAAUGAAUAUGAAUAUUACAUCAACAGAAAUAUGUAUCUGUAUUGCAUGUUAUCUAUUUUGAACUGUGCAAUAAAAAAUUCAAAACAAACAAAAAACUAGUCAUACUUAUUACUCAUUAUUUUUUAUGAUUUCCAAUAUUU
Long non-coding RNA from Dreissena polymorpha, 6617 nucleotides. RefSeq lists it as uncharacterized. The transcript is spliced from 4 exons. NCBI's taxonomy places the organism in Eukaryota, Metazoa, Mollusca, Bivalvia, Myida, Dreissenidae. The record is from RefSeq and is a predicted model, not a curated record.